This 200-nucleotide unclassified non-coding RNA is filed under the name Pleosporales sp. Its description in RNAcentral is "partial internal transcribed spacer 2". The record is from RNAcentral. Lineage: Eukaryota; Fungi; Ascomycota; Dothideomycetes; Pleosporales.
UUAAGUUCAGCGGGUAUCCCUACCUGAUCCGAGGUCAAGCGUAAAAGUAUAGACUUGUGGACACGCCGCGCUCCCAGCGGAGAGCGCAAAUUGUGCUGCGCUCCCACGCGGGACGGCUGGCUGCCAAUGCAUUUGAGGCGAGUUCACGCGUGUAGCGGAACAAAACGCCCAACACCCAGCAGGGCUGGAGGGUACAAAUG